This 391-nucleotide unclassified non-coding RNA is filed under the name soil metagenome. Its description in RNAcentral is "partial contains 5.8S ribosomal RNA, internal transcribed spacer 2, and large subunit ribosomal RNA". The stretch from base 1 to 122 matches the Rfam family "5.8S ribosomal RNA", at positions 35 to 154 of the family's 154-position model. The record is from RNAcentral.
GAUGAAGAACGCAGCGAAAUGCGAUACUUGGUGUGAAUUGCAGAAUCCCGUGAACCAUCGAGUCUUUGAACGCAAGUUGCGCCCGAAGCCAUUAGGCCGAGGGCACGCCUGCCUGGGCGUCACACGUCGUUGCCCCCCCAUCUACUCCUUCGGGAUUGCGGGGGGCGGAUGAUGGCCUCCUGUGCGCCUCGUCGCGCGGUUGGCAUAAAUGCCAAGUCCUCGGCGACGCACGUCACGACAAUCGGUGGUUGCGAAACCUCGGUUGCCCGUCGUGUGCGGUCGUCGCGCAUCGAGGGCUCGAAAAAAUUGCCGGGCUCCGGCUCGGCUUUCAACGCGACCCCAGGUCAGGCGGGGUUACCCGCUGAAUUUAAGCAUAUCAAUAAGCGGAGGA